ACACUUGUCUGAGAAACUCACUCUCGCAACACUAGAGAUUAAUACAUCACUCAGUGUGCAUUUCUUUGUGAUAAAGGGCUGGUGUCAAAUAUAUCAGAUAUGUUUGUGAGACUCAAAAAUUGUGAAUACCCUGAUUCUUGAUACUUUAAACCUGUGUGUGCACCUUACUCUAGAUGGUAUAUGAUAUCUUAGUUUUUAGCUCUUGCACCAUUUUUUUGGUAGAGGUGAAAACUAGGAUCUAAUGAGGUGAUAGAAUGAUAAUUUUUUGUAUAAGUAGCCCCACCCUCACUGGAAAUUAGUGUCUUCGACUAUAACAUCAGUAUUGUGGCUUUCAAGUUUUGCAUUAAUAAAUGCAGUAAUGUUUCUACAAUAUGAGUUAAAACAUUUGCAAAUGAUGCCAUUCUCCCUCUUGUUUAGAGAAAGCCUCACUCCUAAAACAAAACCCAUUUGCAGUGUCUUUGUUGCAGCAGCAGCAGCUACCUUGUCAUUUCUCCCCAAAGGAACAAGAUAAAAUUGGACGUGAACCAGGGAAAGUGAUAAGUACUUUGAUUUUAUUUUUAUUCCAAAAAGAAGAGUAUAACAAGUUUAAGGUGAAGAUUUGGGUAUCAUCUUCAUUAUCAAUGCAUCACUUUUACAUGUACAAUAAGCUUAUUCUGGUUUGGAUUCUCCACAUCAUCAUGAAGGGCCCAGCCCUCUGCUUAGGAAAUAUGAAUCAAUUGCUCACUGUCAUAGGGUUGAGGACAAAUAUUUGAAUGUUGGAGAAGAGCUUUGGCAAGAAACUUUGCCAUUACAAGGUGGAUCUCGCUUUUAUCAUAUACAACAUCUAAAACCCCAUACGUGGUAUGAAGUGAAGAUAUCAUAUCCAGCUUCGAUACCUGCUAGCUUUUCCUUACAACUGAAGAGAAACAAGUCAAAUAUGGAGCUCACAAGUAACAGGAGAUUACUCAACACUGAAAAGCUAAUUUUUAAGACCUAUAGCGAUCAGGACAAAACCUACGUACUAGUAGCUGUGGAGCCAGAGGGGGUUCCAGCAAAACCUUAUAUACUAGAGAGGCAGUUUAUCAUCUUCAAUAUAGUAUGUGAUGAACUACUAUUAGGCAUACCCCACAAAGCUUGGUGGGUUGUGGCAUUGGGCUUAUUAUGUCUCGGAAUUGCAUUGAUCAUUCCUUAUUUCCUUCCUUCAUAUUUUCUUCCGAAGAAGCAGGUCCCUAUAUCAGCUAAUAAUGUUUCAAAAACUUCUUAACAAACCACCUAGGAUGAUAAAGUCAUUGUUUAUCUCAAACUAGAUGUUAUUGCAAUGAAAAGUAUAACUUUGGAAUCCUAGUUUUACAGCAUCUUGUAAUGUACAUUUAAGAGAACUUCAAUAAAAAAAA
RNAcentral lists this long non-coding RNA (1373 nucleotides) under Lupinus mutabilis. RNAcentral's name for it is "partial ncRNA". The record is from RNAcentral. Lineage: Eukaryota; Viridiplantae; Streptophyta; Magnoliopsida; Fabales; Fabaceae.